Molecule: long non-coding RNA, 1844 nt
Organism: Condylura cristata (star-nosed mole)
Lineage: Eukaryota; Metazoa; Chordata; Mammalia; Eulipotyphla; Talpidae
Exons: 3
Source: RefSeq, a predicted model, not a curated record
GACGCAAAACAGGCAAACCCUUGAGAAAGAUGUGGCUGCCUUACAGGCCAGACCCACCUGCCAUUUUAGGAUGAUGGAUGAAGAUAAAGAGCUUUAGAGGAGGGUAGAAGUGGUGUUAGCUUCUGACUGACUUGCAUGCUUCAGCCAAAGAAAAGCCGCACGGAGACAAAACAGGCAGAGAGGAAGGGAUCAAAGCAAAGGUAGAAUCUGGAAUCAUGAAAACUUCAGGAGAAGAGUCAGAGAGAAAGGCCAGCUCAAAGCCCACAUGCAGCAGGCCCUAGUUACCUAAGGGACCAGAACAGUUUGGGUCUGAGCAGGAAAUGGACCCAGCCCUCAGCUGGAGACAGACUUCAGAGAAGAUCCCAAGAGGCAUGGAAUUCUUAACUCCACUUGGCAGAUGGGCCAACCCAACCCCACCAUGGGUUAAAAAUUGUUUACUGUCAAUUUAUCAAAGAUGACAAGGUGCCUUUGGAUAAACACUUCUGGGGAGGCUGCAGGGGGUCCCAGGCAGCCAUCUCUGUUGCUGUGUUCAUCUCUGGGCCUCUGUGGUGUAGUGUAUCACUAACCUACCUUCCAGACUUAAUCACGUUUAAACCUAUUUCAUACUUCAGAUUCUUUGACAACAAAAUCACUGGCCAUCUAUGGAGCAACCAUCUCAUGAGCAAUUAACUAGAAUGUGGUAUUCGGUGUUGCUUAAAAGAUAUUAAGUUUACAGCUCUGUCUGAAAUGCUAAAUAACUGCUUGGAGAUGUUUGGCAUUCUUUUAUCUGCUGGUGACAAUCCUGAAAAGACUGAGAAAAGCUAUCCAGAAAAGUUACCAAGGGAGUGCUACAAGCAGGGAGGGCAAUGCCUAGAGAAAAUCAACAGCCAGCAGAUCCAGGACCCCGAGAAAUGCUUACUAGAGCCGACCAAGCCAGGGAAGAGCCAAGAAACGCCCAGAGGGGAGAAAGGCAGUCCCCUACCCCAACCUACAGCCGGUAGAUAAAGCCAGAGAAGAGACAGAAGCAGCAGAGGGGGAAGACAGAUCCACGCCUGCUGCCAGAGCUGGUAAAUCUACACCCCAGGAACACAGAAGUGGUAAGGAUUUAGAAACUGCUCCGGCACUGAUAAAACAGCACCCCAGAAGUACCUGUGCCGGACACUCCAAAAAGGCAUGGAGGGAGAAGCACCCUGCACUGCACUGAAGCCAGGAGUCCCUUGCUACUCCUGGCACCUGUUCUUGCUUUCCUAGACAUGCUUUGAAUUCUUUCAUGGCUGUGGUUAAGAACCGAAGAACCCCCAAACAGGUAACAUCUAGGAACGCCCAAAUCCAGUAACAGAGGGUUGAAGCUUGCAAUAAAGAAGAAUGAAAGCUGAACAACUGACUGGAUGUCAUAACUCACUGUCUGGAGGCACUGCACGGGAAUGGUAGGCUGGGCUCAGAGCAAGAUUCUCUGGACUUGAACCUUGAGGUCAUCGCUUCAAAACCCUGGGAAGCCGGGAGUGGCUUGUCUGAUGUGUGAAUUGAAAAGGCACAGCAAUCAGCAGCUCUGACCCUCUGGGCAUCUCUGGCAUCCCUCUGCCCACAAGGCAGCUGCACUCUGCACCAUUUCAGCUUCUAGGCACUGUGGCCUGGGCCCAGGUCUGUCUUGCAGGGUAAACCUGGAGGCUUGUCUUUUCCGUGAGAGUGUGAGAAAGUGGUUCAGGCAAAUAUAUCUACUUUAUAAAGCCAAACCAUCCCCAACUGACCUAUCUCAACAUGUAGUCUUAGAGCAAAGCUCUAGGAAACUUGAUUUGACUACAGAUCUGCGAUCUUUCUUUUUUUAGCAUAUUUUUAUUAAUUUAUCCCACACAUAUCUUUUUAAA